This is a long non-coding RNA of Phragmites australis (common reed), 846 nucleotides long. RefSeq lists it as uncharacterized. The transcript is spliced from 3 exons. NCBI's taxonomy places the organism in Eukaryota, Viridiplantae, Streptophyta, Magnoliopsida, Poales, Poaceae. The record is from RefSeq and is a predicted model, not a curated record.
GGUUCAGACAUAUAAUCUGCAGACUGCAGUGAAGGGCUUGAUGGCUGCAAGCUGGAGCGACCUUCCAGAUUCUUCAGUGUAGGAAGCAAAGAUGCUGAUAUGUAAUCUACUGAUGAUAAGGCUGGUCAAGAAACUCUGGAAAGUGUAUCUUCUGCAGCUGAAGUUUGUCGAGAACGUGGGGGUACUGGUGAUCCUAAAACUUGCAGUUGAUGAUCUUACUCGUUUGACUUAUGAGAAUGUGGGGCCCUUGCCUGGUUAUGUGGAGGACGUUGUUAAAGCUGCUUAUAAUAGAUACAUGCAUGCCGUAUCUGGAAUGUGCUGUUCCUGGUGAUCCGUACUUACAGAAGAAAGUAGAGAGAAUUGAGCACAAAAAUGAUGCAUUUAAAAAUACGGUGCAGUGGAAUGGGCUCUAAAUGGGAAAGAUUACGGAGUCUGAUCCAGUAGCAGCAUACUCCUACUUUCUCUGGCGUCAAUCUGGCGACUUCGUUGUGAAGAAGUCAGUCUGUCAGACAAGUGAUUAAUUAAUGUGAUUUGCUAAAUGUCAAUGGUCCCAGUCUUUUUUCCCCUCAAAUGCCAAUGCUCCCAGUCUGAAAGGCUGUCAUUAUGCCAUUUUCAUUUCUGGGCAUUUUCUUAAACCUGCUCAUCUAUUUAUGUACAUGUGCAAAUUUGGCAUGUAGUUUACGUUUAGGGCCCAUUUGGAUACGAGAAACGGUUCCGUUUCUUGCUAGAAUAACUCGAAUACAUGCCAAACACGCUUGUUAGGGAUGAUCCUAAGGGAGAAACGGGAAAAUGAUGAGAACAUCACUUUUUCAGAUAUGUACAACGCUACUUCUCAAGAGAUACAAU